GACGAACGCUGGCGGCGUGCUUAACACAUGCAAGUCGAACGGUGAAGCUCCAGCUUGCUGGAGUGGAUCAGUGGCGAACGGGUGAGUAACACGUGAGCAACCUGCCCCAAACUCUGGAAUAAGCGCUGGAAACGGCGUCUAAUACUGGAUACGAGACGGAACCGCAUGGUUACCGUUUGGAAAGUUUUUCGGUUUGGGAUGGGCUCGCGGCCUAUCAGCUUGUUGGUGAGGUAAUGGCUCACCAAGGCGACGACGGGUAGCCGGCCUGAGAGGGCGACCGGCCACACUGGGACUGAGACACGGCCCAGACUCCUACGGGAGGCAGCAGUGGGGAAUAUUGCACAAUGGGCGAAAGCCUGAUGCAGCGACGCCGCGUGAGGGAUGACGGCCUUCGGGUUGUAAACCUCUUUCAGCAGGGAAGAAGCGAAAGUGACGGUACCUGCAGAAGAAGCACCGGCUAACUACGUGC
RNAcentral lists this ribosomal RNA (469 nucleotides) under uncultured bacterium. Its description in RNAcentral is "bacterial SSU rRNA". It matches the Rfam family "Bacterial small subunit ribosomal RNA", at positions 28 to 508 of the family's 1533-position model. The record is from RNAcentral.